AUCGAAUGGUACCUAUAGUGGUUACAGUAACCCUCACUGCUAUGCUGAAGGGCCCGGGUUCGAUUCCCGGCCAGGAUA
RNAcentral lists this transfer RNA (78 nucleotides) under Plutella xylostella (diamondback moth). Its description in RNAcentral is "tRNA-Ser". The record is from RNAcentral. Lineage: Eukaryota; Metazoa; Arthropoda; Insecta; Lepidoptera; Plutellidae.